GGGACGCUGGAAAUAGUGAUGUACGAGUGUACCGAGAUAAGGGCGACUCCGAAUGGGUACCAAUGGGCAACCCCAUCUUGAGCAAAUUGGAUAA
RNAcentral lists this non-coding RNA (94 nucleotides) under Cylindrotheca closterium. The record is from RNAcentral. Lineage: Eukaryota; Bacillariophyta; Bacillariophyceae; Bacillariales; Bacillariaceae.